Molecule: ribosomal RNA, 599 nt
Filed under: uncultured soil bacterium
Lineage: Bacteria
Description: bacterial SSU rRNA
Rfam family: Bacterial small subunit ribosomal RNA
Source: RNAcentral
GCUGGCGGCGUGCCUCAGACAUGCAAGUCGAACGCGAAAGUCCCUUUCGGGGGACAAGUAGAGUGGCGUCCGGGUGAGUAACACGUAGGUAAUCUACCUUCGGGUGGGGAAUAACGCAGGGAAACUUGCGCUAAUACCGCAUAAUGCAGCGGCACCACAUGGUGACAGUUGUUAAAGCGGGGGAUUUUCGAACCUCGCGCCUGAAGAGGAGCCUGCGGCAGAUUAGCUAGUUGGUAAGGUAACGGCUUACCAAGGCGACGAUCUGUAGCCGGCCUGAGAGGGCGGUCGGCCACACUGACACUGACAUACGGGUCAGACUCCUACGGGAGGCAGCAGUCGGGAAUUUUGGGCAAUGGGCGAAAGCCUGACCCAGCAACGCCGCGUGAAGGAUGAAAUCCCUCGGGAUGUAAACUUCGCAAGAAUAGGAAGAAUUAGCGAGUACUAAUAUUGCUCGUGAUGACGGUACUAUUUGUAAGCUCCGGCUAACUCCGUGCCAGCAGCCGCGGUAAUACGGGGGGAGCAAGCGUUGUUCGGAUUUACUGGGCGUAAAGGGCGCGUAGGCGGCCAUCACAAGUCAGUUGUGAAAUCUCCGGGCUUAA